Molecule: ribosomal RNA, 253 nt
Filed under: uncultured bacterium
Lineage: Bacteria
Description: partial 16S ribosomal RNA
Rfam family: Bacterial small subunit ribosomal RNA
Source: RNAcentral
UACGGAGGAUCCGAGCGUUAUCCGGAUUUAUUGGGUUUAAAGGGAGCGUAGAUGGGUUGUUAAGUCAGUUGUGAAAGUUUGCGGCUCAACCGUAAAAUUGCAAUUGAUACUGGCAGCCUUGAGUACAGUUGAGGUAGGCGGAAUUCGUGGUGUAGCGGUGAAAUGCUUAGAUAUCACGAAGAACUCCGAUUGCGAAGGCAGCCUACUAAACUGCCACUGACAUUGAUGCUCGAAAGUGUGGGUAUCAAACAGG